This 148-nucleotide non-coding RNA is filed under the name Candidatus Cryptobacteroides intestinigallinarum. Lineage: Bacteria; Pseudomonadati; Bacteroidota; Bacteroidia; Bacteroidales. The record is from RNAcentral.
CGGUGCCGCAAGGCCCAACAGGGAAUCCGGUGGAAGUCCGGAACAAUACCCGUUGCUGUAUGUCCGUAUCAAAGGCCUGUGCAAUAUGCCACUGCUCAAUGCGGGAAGGCGCACAGGAGAGGACGAGUCAGAAGACCUGCCGCUGCCG